Long non-coding RNA from Melopsittacus undulatus (budgerigar), 1852 nucleotides. RefSeq lists it as uncharacterized. The record is from RefSeq and is a predicted model, not a curated record. The transcript has 3 exons. Lineage: Eukaryota; Metazoa; Chordata; Aves; Psittaciformes; Psittaculidae.
UCAAGAUGGCGCCUAACGAGUUUGGCCGCUCCCGGCACCCGUACUCAAGAUGGCGCCUCACCAAUAUGGCCGCCCCCAGGUUCUGUAUGCCAAUAUGGUGCAUCUCCAGAAUGGCCGCCCCCAGAGAUUUUGGAUGCAAAUGGACAUUUAUGUGGGAAAACGAGGAAUGACAGCAAUGCGGGAGGCACCGGUGCAGAGCUCUGUGUGUGUACAACAGGAUUUGUGCCCUGGCGCAUUCCGAGUGGGAGCAGCAGCUGGAUGUUGGCACUUUAAAGCUGGAGAAGAAGUAAACCAUCCAGGUUCCAGCCUCAGAUCACAGAUGAUUAUGGUCUGGAUAACUUUGACACACAGCUCACCAGCGAGCCUGUGCAGCUAACCCCAGAUGAUGAAGAUAUAAUAAAGCGAAUAGAUCAGUCAGAGUUUGAAGGAUUUGAAUACAUUAAUCCAUUGUUGCUGUCAACAGAAGGAACAGUAUGAAGGAAUGACAUCUUUGCUGUGGACAGUGUGAAUGACCUUUAACUUUAUCCUUAACCACAGUAUAUGCAUGCGAGGCUGGGGAACUGUAACAUUUUGGAUGGAGACCAAUGAUUUAAAAAUAAACCAACAAACAAGAAAACCCCAACAAAUUGCUGCUGAAAAUCACAGAAGAGAACAAUGAUUUUGGGGGUGUCUUCUGCCACUUGAUGAUUCUGGUUCUGGGCACUGACACAGCUGACUUCAUUAAUGAAGGAGUUUGCAUUUUGUGCCUGUUUCAUGAAGGAUUGAGACGUUCAUUGCAUCCCUGGAAAAGGAGAUUCUGGAAAACUUUGAGACCUACACACUUCCUACAAACGCUUGAUGCAAUGAGCUACCAAUCGAAGAGUAUUACAGUGUAACAUCCUGAAGAAUAAAAUACAUUACAGUGGUGUUGAAGCUUAUUUUUGAUGCCUUUUUUCACAAGUGGUACCUGUCUAAACAUCUCAGAUAUAUUUAAAAGGAGUUGUGUUUUAUUAACAAUCACAACAUAAAUUUGGGUACAAGAUUUAAGUGCCUAAAUGGAUAAAACUGCUUUGAAGAAUUAUUAUGUAUUUGGAACAUUCUUAAACCUGGUAAGUUCUGCUCAUCAAUAUAAAGUGACUAUUAACAUGUGAACAAAACAGUUCUCAGCUACAGCCUCAUGUUUGUUGGCACCUUUCUUGGAUUUGAAACGCAGAGUGACUCAGUUACAUGAAUUCCAAAUUAGAAUUUGCAGAUUUCUAAAUGUUGUCUUAAAACUCCAAAUUUACCAAAAUGUUUCAAUUGAAGAAAACUAAAUUUGCACACAAAGGAGUUAGGAAAAGACUUAAGCAAGUGCCUACACCUACAGUUGUAUAUGGGAUUUUUGAAAAGUAUUUUUAUCAGCCGUACAGAUAUUCAGAAAUGGAACAAAAGUGUAAUUAAAGCAUAGCCUUGAAGUCUAAGUAGUAAAUCUAGAAUAACCAGAAUCUAGAAUACACUUUCCUGCUAAAGCACACCUCCUACUUCUGAUAAACUGUCUGCUUCCAGUUACUCACUGUUUAUUAAUAAUGAAUUGUUCUACUUCAGAAAAUGGGAAGGUUUGGUAAAAUGAUUUGCAUUAAAGUAAUAAUUUUUUUAAUGGAUGGAAAAUGAAUAUUGUAAGAAAUUGGAUAAAGCAAAAGCUCUAUCAAAUCCCUUCUCAUGGGAGGUUGGGUGGGGGCUGGGGGCAGGGAAAGGCUGGCUUAUAUCAAAGUCUAUCAGCUUGGAGAAGCUCACCUCACUGUGUUUGAGAUUAGGGAGUGUAUGUUGCUGUCUGGAGCUUUGGGUGCUGUGAAGGUGUACCUGGCUCUGGGAUCACCAGUUGUUUCUUGCUAGC